Small nucleolar RNA from Artibeus jamaicensis (Jamaican fruit-eating bat), 128 nucleotides. RefSeq annotates it as small nucleolar RNA SNORA3/SNORA45 family. The transcript has a single exon. Lineage: Eukaryota; Metazoa; Chordata; Mammalia; Chiroptera; Phyllostomidae. The record is from RefSeq and is a predicted model, not a curated record.
AUCGAGGCUAGAGUCACGCUUGGGUAUUAGCUAUUAUUGCCUUAGCGUGCUAGAAUCCUCGAAGACCAACUUCUGACCUUGACUCUGGCUCCCCUAUGGCAUGGUCAGUCACCAGGGUAAUGGCAUGC